UAUCUCUGUAGAGUCUGCAUAUCAAUAAGCGGAGGAAAAGAAACUAACAAGGAUUCCCUUAGUAACGGCGAGUGAAGCGGGAAGAGCUCAAAUUUGAAAUCUUCAAUGUUCUACCUUGACGAAUUGUAGUUUAAAGAAGUGUUUUCUGUUGGUGUUUUGGUAAAAGUUCUUUGGAAUAGGACAUCAUAGAGGGUGAGAAUCCCGUAUUUGACCAGUUACUUUCCAGCUGUGUGAUACACUUUCAAAGAGUCGGAUUGUUUGGGAAUGCAGUCCAAAAUGGGUGGUAAAUUUCAUCUAAAGCUAAAUAUUGGCGAGAGACCGAUAGCGAACAAGUACCGUGAGGGAAAGAUGAAAAGAACUUUGAAAAGAGAGUUAAACAGUACGUGAAAUUGUCAAAAGGGAAGCGUUUGACACCAGUGUUGUUUUCUCGAAGAUCAAUUAAGAAUGGCAUGAUUCUGUGUUGUAUUGACCUUAUCAGCUUUCUUCACUCUUUUCGAUGUCUUUUUUAAUGCACUUUUCGGUUAACAAGUCAACAUCAAUUUCUUUUGUUGUAAAAGAGUCAUUCGGAAGGUGGCUUUCUUUUCGGAGAAAGUGUUUAUAGCCCUUAUGCCUCUACAAUCGGAGAGAUUGAGGUCUGCAGCGUAGAUCCUUCGGGGUUAGAUACAUUUGUGCUAAGUUAUAGCCUUUCAUAGACAACUUGUUGACUAUGAUCAGUCAUGUAGCUUACUCGCUUAUGCUAUUUUACCUACGCUUAGGAUGUUGACGAGACUGUCGAUCUC
Molecule: ribosomal RNA, 779 nt
Filed under: uncultured Neocallimastigales
Lineage: Eukaryota; Fungi; Neocallimastigomycota; Neocallimastigomycetes; Neocallimastigales
Description: partial large subunit ribosomal RNA
Rfam family: Eukaryotic large subunit ribosomal RNA
Source: RNAcentral